RNAcentral lists this RNase P RNA (343 nucleotides) under Gammaproteobacteria bacterium. RNAcentral describes it as "RNase P RNA component class A". It matches the Rfam family "Bacterial RNase P class A". Rfam says of the family: Ribonuclease P (RNase P) is a ubiquitous endoribonuclease, found in archaea, bacteria and eukarya as well as chloroplasts and mitochondria. Its best characterised activity is the generation of mature 5'-ends of tRNAs by cleaving the 5'-leader elements of precursor-tRNAs. The record is from RNAcentral. Lineage: Bacteria; Pseudomonadati; Pseudomonadota; Gammaproteobacteria.
CAAGUCAGCUGGAUAAUCGCUGGUUCCAGCAGGAACCGGAGGAAAGUCCGGGCUCCGCAGGGCAGGGUGCCAGAUAACGUCUGGGGGGCGCGAGCCCACGGCCAGUGCAACAGAAAGUAUACCGCCAGCCCCGGCUGGUAAGGGUGAAAUGGUGCGGUAAGAGCGCACCGCGCGUCUGGUAACAGAAGCGGCAGGGUAAACCCCACCCGGAGCAAGACCAAAUAGGAAAACGAUGGCGUGGCCCGCGCCGUUUUCGGGUUGGUCGCUUGAGACCGGGAGGUGACUUCCGGUCCAGAUGAAUGAUUAUCCUCGACAGAACCCGGCUUACAGGCUGACUUUCAAU